GCUGAAUGUACUGGAAGAAUAAGGAUCGGCUAACUCCGUGCCAGCAGCCGCGGUAAUACGGAGGAUCCGAGCGUUAUCCGGAUUUAUUGGGUUUAAAGGGUGCGUAGGCGGCCUGUUAAGUCAGGGGUGAAAUACGGUGGCUCAACCAUCGCAGUGCCUUUGAUACUGACGGGCUUGAAUCCAUUUGAAGUGGGCGGAAUAAGACAAGUAGCGGUGAAAUGCAUAGAUAUGUCUUAGAACUCCGAUUGCGAAGGCAGCUCACUAAGCUGGUAUUGACGCUGAUGCACGAAAGCGUGGGGAUCGAACAGGAUUAGAUACCCUGGUAGUCCACGCCCUAAACGAUGAUAACUCGAUGUUGGCGAUAGACCGCCAGCGUCCAAGCGAAAGCGUUAAGUUAUCCACCUGGGGAGUACGCCCGCAAGGGUGAAACUCAAAGGAAUUGACGGGGGCCCGCACAAGCGGAGGAGCAUGUGGUUUAAUUCGAUGAUACGCGAGGAACCUUACCCGGGCUUGAAAGUUAGUGAAGGAUGCAGAGACGCAUCCGUCCUUCGGGACACGAAACUAGGUGCUGCAUGGCUGUCGUCAGCUCGUGCCGUGAGGUGUUGGGUUAAGUCCCGCAACGAGCGCAACCCCUAUGUUUAGUUGCCAGCAAGUAAUGUUGGGGACUCUAAACAGACUGCCUGCGCAAGCAGAGAGGAAGGUGGGGACGACGUCAAGUCAUCAUGGCCCUUACGUCCGGGGCUACACACGUGCUACAAUGGAUGGUACAGCGGGCAGCUACAUAGCAAUAUGGUGCUAAUCUCUAAAAGCCAUUCACAGUUCGGAUUGGGGUCUGCAACUCGACCCCAUGAAGUUGGAUUCGCUAGUAAUCGCGUAUCAGCAAUGACGCGGUGAAUACGUUCCCGGGCCUUGUACACACCGCCCGUCAAGCCAUGAAAGUUGGGGGUACCUAAAGCAUGUGACCGCAAGGAGCGUGUUAGGGUAAAACCGAUAAUUGGGGCUAAGUCGUAACAAGGUAGCCGUACCGGAAGGUGCGGCUGGAAUACCUCCUUUCUA
Molecule: ribosomal RNA, 1056 nt
Filed under: Sphingobacterium puteale
Lineage: Bacteria; Pseudomonadati; Bacteroidota; Sphingobacteriia; Sphingobacteriales; Sphingobacteriaceae
Description: bacterial SSU rRNA
Rfam family: Bacterial small subunit ribosomal RNA
Source: RNAcentral